This 1629-nucleotide long non-coding RNA is filed under the name Trifolium pratense (red clover). RNAcentral's name for it is "long non-coding RNA (TPRA_LNC001550)". The record is from RNAcentral. Lineage: Eukaryota; Viridiplantae; Streptophyta; Magnoliopsida; Fabales; Fabaceae.
CAACUCAUUUGUGCAUGCAUGAAUGGCUAGAUCUGAAACCAAAAAAAGAUGUCAUUAGAAACCUGAUGAAUAGUAAAUAAGAUUCACAAUAAAGAAAAUAACCUUUCAUAAUAAAAAACAAUAGUAAUCAUAAGAUAAAAUGAAUCUCAAUUCUACCUUGAUGUUUAUGAUUUGCUCUUUAUAUACCACUCCUCUUGUAGGUGACAAAAUAUCAAUAUCCUAUUCCAAGUUGAAGUUUUUACAUGGUUCCACACGUUUAACACAAUUAGGUAUUAUACAUUUUAAGUUAAAAAAACUCCUGCAAUUAAAAUUUUGAUAUUCAAAAAAUAAACCUUAAAAAAUGUAUAGGAAAAAGAACCAAUCAAAUAGAAGCAUAUUUCGUCCCUUUUCAAUAGAGUGGUCAUACCACUCUAAAUCAUGGCAAAUUCUUUACAAAAGAGAGAUUAUACCACUCUCAAUCAAAUAGAAGCACAUUUUAUUCCUUUUUAAUAAGCCUUACAUCAAAUAAAUGGCAGUAGAGUAAGAAGCAACAUCACCAUAGAUUGAACAAAAAUAUAAUAGAUCUGGAAUCCGAAAAUGAAUUGAAAAUAAAUCUGGAAUCCAAAAACUAAAAUGGAUCUGAAGUGCUUACCUUCGCUGCAGUCGUGUGCUCUGCUUCAUCGAUCUUUGUCGUCGCUAGGUUUGUGAACUUGGACAAACAAUAACAGAGAAAUCAAGGAAUCAAAGAACCGCAUAAUGAGGAGUUUUCAAAUACAAUCAAGCUAUGUACCUCACCAUCAAGGAAUGACAAUAAUUCAAGGAAUCAAAAUAAAAGUAAUUAAAAAUAUCAAACUAUAAUUGAUCUACUUAUAAAGGCAUCACAAAAUAAAUAAAAAUUGAAGAGAAAUGUGAAACCUGAAACCAAUAGUUAGCAAAAAUGAUAAAAAAAAUUAUAAGUUGUGGUACUUAUAAUCAUUUCAUUGGCACUUGGUUGUUGGAUCAAAAACUAAACCAUGGAAAUUCAUAAACCUGACCCCUCUAAUCAGUGUCUUCAUUCUCUCGAUUCAAAUAAGCUAUAAGCUAUUUCGAAAUAAAGUAAACUAAAAAAGAUGUAACCACCUAUUAAAUUCAUGUGUGAAGCAAAUCCAUCCACUAAUUUCAAAGUCAGGUAAAAAAUUAAGGAAAUAGAGAGUAGCAAAAGCAAAUCCCUUCUAACUCUAUAAAUUCAAACUCUAGUUUAAUCCAUACAAAAAAAAAUUAUUAUUAAAACAUGUCAAAUUACAUUUUUUAAUCAAACUCUAAUUCCAAAACACCAUGAAUGAACUUUGAUUAGGAUUUAGAAAAUUAGGGAUUUCGGAACAAAAAAACGCCAAUUAAAUGUUACCAGAAAAAUAGGCUUGACAUAGUUUGCGAAUCAUCCGAAUCAGCAACCCCAUGUCAGAAUCUAUCACGACCAAGAUCUUCGGCGAUUUUGGCGGUGAAACUGAAACAACAAACAUAAAAACAAAAUCAUAUUCAUUUGAAAUCAAUAGAGUUAGAAAAACAGUUAUUAUAGCAAAAUAUUUAAACAAUAUAUUUAGAAAAUCAAAAGACAUACUUUGUUUUUUGAGAAGCCCUUUGAACAUUCAUUUAUGAAGAUAGCUGCAAAGA